UUGCUCCACUUGAACCUGAUGAGGUGGAAAUGCUUCUAGGUUUUCCUAAAAACCAUACACGAGGAGGAGGAUCUAGUCGGACAGAGAGGAUUAAAUCGCUCGGUAAUUCAUUCCAGGUCGACACAGUGGCUUAUCAUCUUUCAGUCUUAAGAGACAUGUUCCCGACGGUAUCAAUGUCCUGUCUCUUUUCUCUGGGAUUGGUGGUGCAGAGGUUGCCCUCUACAGGCUUGGCAUACCUUUGAAGGCUGUUGUAUCGGUUGAGAAGUCGGAAGUGUGCAGAAACAUUGUUAGGAGUUGGUGGGAGCAAACAAAUCAACGGGGACUCUAAUUGAUAUACCAGAUGUGCAAGAACUGAAUGGUGAUCGGUUGGAGCAAUUGAUGAGUAGAUUUGGCGGAUUUGACCUUGUUGUCGGUGGCAGCCCGUGUAACAACCUUACGGAAGCAACAGACACCAUCGAGACGGACUCGAGGGUAAAGAAUCUUCUCUUUUCUACGAUUAUUGUCGUAUAUUAGACUUGGUUAGACUUAUGCAAAGGAAUCAAUGAUUUCAUGUGAAGGCUUAUUUGUGCAUCAAAUUGAAUUUGUCUUGCAUCUUUGUUAUUGUCUGAACAUAACAGUGCUUCCGACUUAACUUAGAAUGAAGUGUUUAAAGUUGAACAUAAUUGUGUUGGACCGUAUUCGUACCUGAUACGUACACUUAACAUUCUCCA
Long non-coding RNA from Hibiscus syriacus, 710 nucleotides. RefSeq lists it as uncharacterized. The transcript has 2 exons. Lineage: Eukaryota; Viridiplantae; Streptophyta; Magnoliopsida; Malvales; Malvaceae. The record is from RefSeq and is a predicted model, not a curated record.